UGAACUGAUCCCUUUAACUAAAGUCAGUUCUGUGAUGACAUCAUCGCAUGGGAAGUGACAUCAUUUUGGAGGGAAAGCACCAGCACCAGCAUUAACGCUGUUGAUAGAGCUUAACUCAUCCUGAAGCCGGAACAUUCCCGUAGCAGCAGAAGUGCUGGAAUGCCACAUGGUUUUAAUGCCCCACCCAGCGCUGGAAGGAUGACAUGCAGUGCCCCGACCCCCCGCCUCCGGAGCUUGAAAGUCUCAGUCUCUGUUCUUUGCAACUGUAAAGAGCAUCCAGCAC
Long non-coding RNA from Sinocyclocheilus rhinocerous, 283 nucleotides. RefSeq lists it as uncharacterized. The transcript is spliced from 3 exons. Lineage: Eukaryota; Metazoa; Chordata; Actinopteri; Cypriniformes; Cyprinidae. The record is from RefSeq and is a predicted model, not a curated record.